GGAGUGGGGCCUGAGAUUCUGCAUUUCUAACAGACUCUCUGGUAAUGC
This 48-nucleotide microRNA precursor is filed under the name Canis lupus familiaris (dog). Its description in RNAcentral is "miRNA (ENSCAFG00000052529.1)". The record is from RNAcentral. Lineage: Eukaryota; Metazoa; Chordata; Mammalia; Carnivora; Canidae.